This is an unclassified non-coding RNA of Mesocricetus auratus (golden hamster), 299 nucleotides long. Its record names the gene 7SK. It matches the Rfam family "7SK RNA". Rfam says of the family: 7SK was discovered as an abundant small nuclear RNA in the mid-70s but a possible function has only recently been suggested. Two independent studies have found that 7SK RNA binds the CDK9/cyclin T complex (known as elongation factor P-TEFb). NCBI's taxonomy places the organism in Eukaryota, Metazoa, Chordata, Mammalia, Rodentia, Cricetidae. The record is from Ensembl.
GCAUGUGUGAGCAGUCUGGCUUAACAUCUAUCACCACAUUGUGUCUGGGACUGAUUCAGCUGAUCUGGAUGGCUAGUAAGUGUUCCCUUCCUCCCUCACCACCUGAAGCUAUGCACAUGGUUGAAAGAAAAGACCUUCCCCACACAGAGGAGAAGCAGUCUUUGGUCAGGGUAUACAAGAGCUGUACUCUCCCAGUAGAGUUUCAAAAAAGGCUCUCAAAUGUCUUAAAUGUGAUUUAUAGCCUCAUUUUCUAAAAACAACAAAUAAAGCAUAAGCCAGUAUCAUAAGCCACCUUUCUU